GAUGAACGCUGGCGGCGUGCCUAAUACAUGCAAGUCGAGCGAACGGACGAGAAGCUUGCUUUUCUGAUGUUAGCGGCGGACGGGUGAGUAACACGUGGAUAACCUACCUAUAAGACUGGGAUAACUUCGGGAAACCGGAGCUAAUACCGGAUAAUAUUUUGAACCGCAUGGUUCAAAAGUGAAAGACGGUCUUGCUGUCUCAUAUAGAUGGAUCCGCGCUGCAUUAGCUAGUUGGUAAGGUAACGGCUUACCAAGGCAACGAUGCAUAGCCGACCUGAGAGGGUGAUCGGCCACACUGGAACUGAGACACGGUCCAGACUCCUACGGGAGGCAGCAGUAGGGAAUAUUCCGCAAUGGGCGAAAGCCUGACGGAGCAACGCCGCGUGAGUGAUGAAGGUCUUCGGAUCGUAAAACUCUGUUAUUAGGGAAGAACAUAUGUGUAAGUAACUGUGCACAUCUUGACGGUACCUAAUCAGAAAGCCACGGCUAACUACGUG
This 497-nucleotide ribosomal RNA is filed under the name uncultured bacterium. RNAcentral's name for it is "partial 16S ribosomal RNA". It matches the Rfam family "Bacterial small subunit ribosomal RNA", at positions 28 to 507 of the family's 1533-position model. The record is from RNAcentral.